Molecule: long non-coding RNA, 389 nt
Filed under: Homo sapiens (human)
Lineage: Eukaryota; Metazoa; Chordata; Mammalia; Primates; Hominidae
Description: HSALNT0009717
Source: RNAcentral
CCGCCGCGCGCCGCUGAGUUGUCUGGCCCCGCCGACCCACGGCCCACGACCCACCGACCCACGAAUCGGCCCGGCCGUCGCGUGCACCAUGUCUGGCUCCUCCAGCGUCGCCGCUAUGAAGAAAGUGGUUCAACAGCUCCGGCUGGAGGCCGGACUCAACCGCGUAAAAGUUUCCCAAACCACUCCUUAUGAUCCAGUGAAUAUUCAAGAGAGCUACAUUUGAAGCCUGUACAAAAGCUUAUCCCUGUAACACAUGUGCCAUAAUAUACAAACUUCUACUUUCGUCAGUCCUUAACAUCUACCUCUCUGAAUUUUCAUGAAUUUCUAUUUCACAAGGGUAAUUGUUUUAUAUACACUGGCAGCAGCAUACAAUAAAACUUAGUAUGAAA